RNAcentral lists this ribosomal RNA (262 nucleotides) under uncultured bacterium. RNAcentral's name for it is "partial 16S ribosomal RNA". It matches the Rfam family "Bacterial small subunit ribosomal RNA", at positions 337 to 596 of the family's 1533-position model. The record is from RNAcentral.
UCCUACGGGGCGCAGCAGUGAGGAAUAUUGGUCAAUGGACGAGAGUCUGAACCAGCCAAGUAGCGUGAAGGAUGACUGCCCUAUGGGUUGUAAACUUCUUUUAUAUGGGAAUAAAGUUUUCCACGUGUGGAAUUUUGUAUGUACCAUAUGAAUAAGGAUCGGCUAACUCCGUGCCAGCAGCCGCGGUAAUACGGAGGAUCCGUGCGUUAUCCGGAUUUAUUGGGUUUAAAGGGAGCGUGGGUGGGUUGUUAAGUCAGUUGUG